Molecule: ribosomal RNA, 330 nt
Filed under: uncultured bacterium
Lineage: Bacteria
Description: bacterial SSU rRNA
Rfam family: Bacterial small subunit ribosomal RNA
Source: RNAcentral
UGUGUAGGCGGUUGUUUAAGUUUGGUGUGAAAUCUCCCGGCUCAACUGGGAGGGUGCGCCGAAUACUGAAUGACUUCGAGUGCGGGAGAGGAAAGUGGAAUUCCUGGUGUAGCGGUGAAAUGCGUAGAUAUCAGGAGGAACACCGGUGGUGUAGACGGCUUUCUGGACCGUAACUGACGCUGAAACACGAAAGCGUGGGUAGCAAACAGGAUUAGAUACCCUGGUAGUCCACGCCCUAAACGAUGCAUAUUGGUGUGGGCAGUUCAUUCUGUCCGUGCCGGAGCUAACGCGUUAAAUAUGCCGCCUGGGGAGUACAGUCGCAAGGCUGAA